AGUGAACGCUGGCGGUAGGCCUAACACAUGCCAGUCGAACGGCAGCACAGUAAGAGCUUGCUCUUACGGGUGGCGAGUGGCGGACGGGUGAGGAAUACAUCGGAAUCUACUUUUUCGUGGGGGAUAACGUAGGGAAACUUACGCUAAUACCGCAUACGACCUACGGGUGAAAGCAGGGGAUCUUCGGACCUUGCGCGAUUGAAUGAGCCGAUGUCGGAUUAGCUAGUUGGUGGGGUAAAGGCCCACCAAGGCGACGAUCCGUAGCUGGUCUGAGAGGAUGAUCAGCCACACUGGAACUGAGACACGGUCCAGACUCCUACGGGAGGCAGCAGUGGGGAAUAUUGGACAAUGGGCGCAAGCCUGAUCCAGCCAUACCGCGUGGGUGAAGAAGGCCUUCGGGUUGUAAAGCCCUUUUGUUGGGAAAGAAAAGCAGCAGGUUAAUACCCCGCUGUUCUGACGGUACCCAAAGAAUAAGCACCGGCUAACUUCGUG
This 492-nucleotide ribosomal RNA is filed under the name uncultured bacterium. Its description in RNAcentral is "partial 16S ribosomal RNA". It matches the Rfam family "Bacterial small subunit ribosomal RNA", at positions 29 to 507 of the family's 1533-position model. The record is from RNAcentral.